RNAcentral lists this ribosomal RNA (449 nucleotides) under uncultured bacterium. Its description in RNAcentral is "bacterial SSU rRNA". It matches the Rfam family "Bacterial small subunit ribosomal RNA", at positions 328 to 794 of the family's 1533-position model. The record is from RNAcentral.
GUUCCAGACUCCUACGGGAGGCAGCAGUGGGGAAUAUUGCACAAUGGGGGAAACCCUGAUGCAGCGACGCCGCGUGAGUGAGGAAGUAUUUCGGUAUGUAAAGCUCUAUCAGCAGGGAAGAAAAUGACGGUACCUGACUAAGAAGCCCCGACUAACUACGUGCCAGCAGCCGCGGUAAUACGUAGGGGGCAAGCGUUAUCCGGAUUCACUGGGUGUAAAGGGAGCGUAGACGGCGACGCAAGUCUGGAGUGAAAGCCCGGGGCCCAACCCCGGGACUGCUCUGGAAACUGCGUCGCUGGAGUACGGGAGGGGCAGGCGGAAUUCCUGGUGUAGCGGUGAAAUGCGUAGAUAUCAGGAGGAACACCGGCGGCGAAGGCGGCCUGCUGGACCGUGACUGACGUUGAGGCUCGAGAGCGUGGGGAGCAAACAGGAUUAGAUACCCUCGUAAA